GUAAGGAAUAUUGGACAAUGGGGGAAACCCUGAUCCAGCCAUGCCGCGUGAGUGAAGAAGGCCUUCGGGUUGUAAAGCUCUUUCAGAUGUGAAGAUGAUGACGGUAACAUCAGAAGAAGCUCCGGCUAACUUCGUGCCAGCAGCCGCGGUAAUACGAAGGGAGCGAGCGUUGUUCGGAAUCACUGGGCGUAAAGAGUGCGUAGGCGGUUAUACAAGUCAGGAGUGAAAUCCCAGGGCUCAACCCUGGAAUUGCUUUUGAAACUGUAUAGCUAGAGUCCCGGAGGGGUUAAUGGAAUUCCGAGUGUAGAGGUGAAAUUCGCAGAUAUUCGGAGGAACACCAGUGGCGAAGGCGAUUAACUGGACGGGCACUGACGCUGAGGCACGAAAGCGUGGGGAUCAAACAGGAUUAGAUACCCGAGUAGUCC
This 425-nucleotide ribosomal RNA is filed under the name uncultured bacterium. RNAcentral's name for it is "bacterial SSU rRNA". It matches the Rfam family "Bacterial small subunit ribosomal RNA", at positions 354 to 796 of the family's 1533-position model. The record is from RNAcentral.